UGGGGAAUUUUGGACAAUGGGCGAAAGCCUGAUCCAGCAAUGCCGCGUGUGUGAAGAAGGCCUUCGGGUUGUAAAGCACUUUUGUCCGGAAAGAAAUCCUUGGCUCUAAUACAGUCGGGGGAUGACGGUACCGGAAGAAUAAGCACCGGCUAACUACGUGCCAGCAGCCGCGGUAAUACGUAGGGUGCAAGCGUUAAUCGGAAUUACUGGGCGUAAAGCGUGCGCAGGCGGUUUGCUAAGACCGAUGUGAAAUCCCCGGGCUCAACCUGGGGAACUGCAUUGGUGACCUGGCAGGCUAGAGUAUGGCAGAGGGGGGUAGAAUUCCACGUGUAGCAGUGAAAUGCGUAGAGAUGGUGGAGGAAUACCGAUGGCGAAGGCAGCCCCCUGGGGCCAAUACUGACGCUCAUGCACGAAAGCGUGGGGGAGCAAAACAGGAUUAGAUACCCUGGUAGUCCACGCCCUAAACGAUGUCAACUAGUUGUUGGGGAUUCAUUUCCUUAGUAACGUAGCUAACGCGUGAAGUUGACCGCCUGGGGAGUACGGUCGCAAGAUUAAAACUUAAAUGAAUUGACGGGGUCAUAGCUGUUUCCU
Molecule: ribosomal RNA, 591 nt
Filed under: uncultured bacterium
Lineage: Bacteria
Description: partial 16S ribosomal RNA
Rfam family: Bacterial small subunit ribosomal RNA
Source: RNAcentral